This is a long non-coding RNA of Saccostrea echinata, 328 nucleotides long. RefSeq lists it as uncharacterized. Lineage: Eukaryota; Metazoa; Mollusca; Bivalvia; Ostreida; Ostreidae. The transcript is spliced from 2 exons. The record is from RefSeq and is a predicted model, not a curated record.
UGUAGACUGAAAAAAUACAAUGUUGUCACUGUUUCAAGCUGUCUUCGUUCUAUUUGCACUGUUUGUUGCAGUGGUUUUUUCCCAAGAUUUCAACGCCUGGAAUAAUCGAAAUUGGCCACAAAAUAAUUUUGCAAAUGGAUGGAAUAGAAAUAAUAUGCACCAAAAUUGGCCCAAUCAAAACAAUGGAUGGUUUUAGAGCAAAGAAUGUGGAGGACUUAGAUGGAGAUAUACUUUGAUUCCUUACAGAUGCAUCUAUAUUAAGUGGAAAUGUGGCAAUUCAAUAAAAACUUUUAUACUCAUAUUUUUGAUUAAAGAUAUAUAAAAAUCA